This 302-nucleotide ribosomal RNA is filed under the name uncultured bacterium. RNAcentral describes it as "partial 16S ribosomal RNA". It matches the Rfam family "Bacterial small subunit ribosomal RNA", at positions 508 to 807 of the family's 1533-position model. The record is from RNAcentral.
GCAGUAGCCGCGGUAAAACAGAGGGUGCGAGCGUUAAUCGGAUUUACUGGGCGUAAAGCGUGCGUAGGCGGCUUUUUAAGUCGGAUGUGAAAUCCCUGAGCUUAACUUAGGAAUUGCAUUCGAUACUGGGAAGCUAGAGUAUGGGAGAGGAUGGUAGAAUUCCAGGUGUAGCGGUGAAAUGCGUAGAGAUCUGGAGGAAUACCGAUGGCGAAGGCAGCCAUCUGGCCUAAUACUGACGCUGAGGUACGAAAGCAUGGGGAGCAAACAGGAUUAGAUACCCCGGUAGUCCCUGUCUCUUAUAC